RNAcentral lists this long non-coding RNA (233 nucleotides) under Elaeis guineensis (African oil palm). RNAcentral's name for it is "long non-coding RNA (EGUI_LNC046768)". The record is from RNAcentral. Lineage: Eukaryota; Viridiplantae; Streptophyta; Magnoliopsida; Arecales; Arecaceae.
UCAUCUGUCAUAUGUCAAAUUUACUUGACUUGAGUUUCUGAUGUGAAGUAUGUGAAAUUUUUUUUCCACCAUUCACUCUAUCCUAGCUAAGAUCUUCUGAACUCAAUCUUAUAAAUUACAUAGGAUCAUCUUCUUUAUUUAUCCAAAGAUAAUAGAUUCUAUCUUGAUGCACAUCUUAUUCCUACAAUGAAUCUACUACAGUCAAUAUGCAGGGCAGGGAUCCAUAUGGCUAG